UGGGGAAUUUUGGACAAUGGGCGAAAGCCUGAUCCAGCAAUGCCGCGUGUGUGAAGAAGGCCUUCGGGUUGUAAAGCACUUUUGUCCGGAAAGAAAUCCUCUGGGUUAAUACCUCGGGGGGAUGACGGUACCGGAAGAAUAAGCACCGGCUAACUACGUGCCAGCAGCCGCGGUAAUACGUAGGGUGCAAGCGUUAAUCGGAAUUACUGGGCGUAAAGCGUGCGCAGGCGGUUUUAUAAGACGGAUGUGAAAUCCCCGGGCUUAACCUGGGAACUGCAUUCGUGACUGCAAGGCUAGAGUAUGGCAGAGGGGGGUAGAAUUCCACGUGUAGCAGUGAAAUGCGUAGAGAUGUGGAGGAAUACCGAUGGCGAAGGCAGCCCCCUGGGCCAAUACUGACGCUCAUGCACGAAAGCGUGGGGAGCAAACAGGAUUAGAUACCCUGGUAGUCCACGCCCUAAACGAUGUCAACUAGUUGUUGGGGAUUCAUUUCCUUAGUAACGUAGCUAACGCGUGAAGUUGACCGCCUGGGGAGUACGGUCGCAAGAUUAAAACUCAAAUGAAUUGACGGGGUCAUAGCUGUUUCCU
RNAcentral lists this ribosomal RNA (585 nucleotides) under uncultured bacterium. RNAcentral's name for it is "partial 16S ribosomal RNA". It matches the Rfam family "Bacterial small subunit ribosomal RNA", at positions 355 to 1375 of the family's 1533-position model. The record is from RNAcentral.